UAAGACUUCGUCUACAAAAUCAAUUUAUACACACAAGUCAAUCUGCUGCAACUCUCGUCAUUGUCUUCACUCAAACACAACAACCCACUGCCAAAGUUCCACAGCCCACCAACAAACCUCCACCCUUUUCUAUUAUGCACAGUCGCUUUCUUCAUCCAUUACUGAUACAUUACCCAAUCACCUAAGUCUCAUAUUUCUCUACACAACCGACACCCGACGUAGCCAUGCCCUCUGCUCCCACUACUAAAAUCAAAGGCAACAUUUACUACAAGCCAUCCCCAAAAAAAAAAAUUAAUAAAUAAAAUAAAAAUAAAAAUUAAAUAAAAAAAUAAAAAUCCAAAAUUGCCUUUUGCUUCUGCCAACGAAGUGACAAACGGUCACCACCACCAUAUCAUCAUCCCAUACCUGUUAACCAGCAAAUCUCAAUACCCACCAAAACACUAACGUAGAAGCCACUAAUCAUUUUUACCUCUUACCCAUAUAGUCAAAACGUAGCCCACCAUAAUCUGCAAAUCACCGACUCUAGACCCUCGAGUUCAAUCUUCUCUUAUUUGCUGGUAGAAGAAAGCUGAACCCUUGGGAACGAAACUGACAGCCCAUCUAUAAAUACCACUCCAGUUCACUUGAACGAAUUCUCUUUGGACCUCUAUUUUCAUUAUCUUCCUCUGGUUUGUGUUGGGCCUCAAUUUGUGGCCUUAUUCUUUAUAUAAGAGUUAAUUGAUUUUGUUGCUUUUGCUUCACACAGAGAGAGAGAGAGAGAGAGUAAAAGAAAAAAAAAACUGAAAAAGGAUAGAGAGAAAAAAAAAAAAAAAAAAAAAAAAAAAAUUUUUACUCCAUUUCAAUUGAACGACUUCUCUUUGGACCUCUAUUUUCAUUAUCUGCCUCUGGUUUGUGUUCGGCCUCAAUUUGUUGCCUUAUUCUUUAUAUGAGAGUUAAUUGGUUUUGUUGCUUUUGCUUCACAGAGAGAGAGAGAGGAAAAGAAAAAACGGUGAAAAAAGGAUAUAGGGAAAAAAAAAAAGAAUAGAAAUUUCUAUCAUUAUUCAUAGGUGAUCUUUUUAUCAUGUUGAUUGACA
This 1073-nucleotide long non-coding RNA is filed under the name Olea europaea (common olive). RNAcentral's name for it is "long non-coding RNA (OEUR_LNC000587)". The record is from RNAcentral. Lineage: Eukaryota; Viridiplantae; Streptophyta; Magnoliopsida; Lamiales; Oleaceae.